Molecule: non-coding RNA, 311 nt
Organism: Paramuricea clavata
Lineage: Eukaryota; Metazoa; Cnidaria; Anthozoa; Malacalcyonacea; Plexauridae
Source: the annotation of a GenBank genome assembly
CGAACAGCCAUGCUGUCGACCGGCCGAGCACAAACCUCGGCACAAACAAACAUUCUAAAUUUUAAAACAAUCUAUUUUUCUGGAUUUCUGGUGUGCGUAUCCCUCCUAAUUUAUUGCGAAUGGGAAGUCUAUAACUGUAACGCCAUACCACUAUAUUUCAUUCUACAAAAUUGUAAUCAAGUAAAUGUCGUAAAACGAAGACUCAAAAUAGUAUGACAGAACUACAAACUGUGUGAGUGUCCGUAUGCAUAUACACAUAUAUUAAUAAAAGCUUUAAAAACAUUACCUCAUGUUAAUAUUAUUAGUUGACC